This 694-nucleotide ribosomal RNA is filed under the name uncultured bacterium. RNAcentral describes it as "bacterial SSU rRNA". It matches the Rfam family "Bacterial small subunit ribosomal RNA", at positions 32 to 715 of the family's 1533-position model. The record is from RNAcentral.
AACGCUAGCUACAGGCUUAACACAUGCAAGUCGAGGGGUAACAUGAAGAAAGCUUGCUUUCUUUGAUGACGACCGGCGCACGGGUGAGUAUCGCGUAUCCAACCUGCCCAUAAGUAGGGAAUAGCCUUGCGAAAGUAAGAUUAAUGCCCUAUGGUUUCCGUCAAAGACAUCUGAGAUGGAAUAAAGAUUUAUCGGUGAUGGAUGGGGAUGCGUCUGAUUAGCUUGUUGGCGGGGUAACGGCCCACCAAGGCGACGAUCAGUAGGGGUUCUGAGAGGAAGGUCCCCCACAUUGGAACUGAGACACGGUCCAAACUCCUACGGGAGGCAGCAGUGAGGAAUAUUGGUCAAUGGGCGAGAGCCUGAACCAGCCAAGUAGCGUGCAGGAUGACGGCCCUAUGGGUUGUAAACUGCUUUUAUAAGGGAAUAAAGUGAGUCUCGUGAGACUUUUUGCAUGUACCUUAUGAAUAAGGACCGGCUAAUUCCGUGCCAGCAGCCGCGGUAAUACGGAAGGUCCGGGCGUUAUCCGGAUUUAUUGGGUUUAAAGGGAGCGUAGGCCGGAGAUUAAGCGUGUUGUGAAAUGUAGACGCUCAACGUCUGCACUGCAGCGCGAACUGGUUUCCUUGAGUGCGCACAAAGUGGGCGGAAUUCGUGGUGUAGCGGUGAAAUGCUUAGAUAUCACGAAGAACUCCGAUUG